AUUGCGCAGCUACACAUGCAGUCGAGCGGUAGCACAGAGAGCUUGCUCUCGGGUGACGAGCGGCGGACGGGUGAGUAAUGUCUGGGAAACUGCCUGAUGGAGGGGGAUAACUACUGGAAACGGUAGCUAAUACCGCAUAACGUCGCAAGACCAAAGUGGGGGACCUUCGGGCCUCAUGCCAUCAGAUGUGCCCAGAUGGGAUUAGCUAGUAGGUGGGGUAACGGCUCACCUAGGCGACGAUCCCUAGCUGGUCUGAGAGGAUGACCAGCCACACUGGAACUGAGACACGGUCCAGACUCCUACGGGAGGCAGCAGUGGGGAAUAUUGCACAAUGGGCGCAAGCCUGAUGCAGCCAUGCCGCGUGUGUGAAGAAGGCCUUCGGGUUGUAAAGCACUUUCAGCGGGGAGGAAGGCGAUAAGGUUAAUAACCUUGGCGAUUGACGUUACCCGCAGAAGAAGCACCGGCUAACUCCGUGCCAGCAGCCGCGGUAAUACGGAGGGUGCAAGCGUUAAUCGGAAUUACUGGGCGUAAAGCGCACGCAGGCGGUCUGUCAAGUCGGAUGUGAAAUCCCCGGGCUCAACCUGGGAACUGCAUUCGAAACUGGCAGGCUAGAGUCUUGUAGAGGGGGGUAGAAUUCCAGGUGUAGCGGUGAAAUGCGUAGAGAUCUGGAGGAAUACCGGUGGCGAAGGCGGCCCCCUGGACAAAGACUGACGCUCAGGUGCGAAAGCGUGGGGAGCAAACAGGAUUAGAUACCCUGGUAGUCCACGCCGUAAACGAUGUCGAUUUGGAGGUUGUGCCCUUGAGGCGUGGCUUCCGGAGCUAACGCGUUAAAUCGACCGCCUGGGGAGUACGGCCGCAAGGUUAAAACUCAAAUGAAUUGACGGGGGCCCGCACAAGCGGUGGAGCAUGUGGUUUAAUUCGAUGCAACGCGAAGAACCUUACCUGGUCUUGACAUCCACAGAACUUUCCAGAGAUGGAUUGGUGCCUUCGGGAACUGUGAGACAGGUGCUGCAUGGCUGUCGUCAGCUCGUGUUGUGAAAUGUUGGGUUAAGUCCCGCAACGAGCGCAACCCUUAUCCUUUGUUGCCAGCGGUUAGGCCGGGAACUCAAAGGAGACUGCCAGUGAUAAACUGGAGGAAGGUGGGGAUGACGUCAAGUCAUCAUGGCCCUUACGACCAGGGCUACACACGUGCUACAAUGGCAUAUACAAAGAGAAGCGACCUCGCGAGAGCAAGCGGACCUCAUAAA
This 1247-nucleotide ribosomal RNA is filed under the name Klebsiella pneumoniae. Its description in RNAcentral is "bacterial SSU rRNA". It matches the Rfam family "Bacterial small subunit ribosomal RNA", at positions 36 to 1280 of the family's 1533-position model. The record is from RNAcentral. Lineage: Bacteria; Pseudomonadati; Pseudomonadota; Gammaproteobacteria; Enterobacterales; Enterobacteriaceae.